This 213-nucleotide ribosomal RNA is filed under the name Gastrotheca sp. MZUESC 21988. RNAcentral describes it as "partial large subunit ribosomal RNA". It matches the Rfam family "Archaeal large subunit ribosomal RNA", at positions 1996 to 2210 of the family's 2987-position model. Lineage: Eukaryota; Metazoa; Chordata; Amphibia; Anura; Hemiphractidae. The record is from RNAcentral.
UAUGUUCAACGGCCGCGGUACCCUGACCGUGCGAAGGUAGCGUAAUCACUUGCUCUCUAAUUAAGGGCUAGUAUGAACGGCUACACGAGGGCUAAACUGUCUCCUUUUUUUAAUCAGUGAAACUAAUCUCCCCGUGAAGAAGCGGGGAUACCCCCAUAAGACGAGAAGACACUAUGGAGCUUAAAACAAAACAACAAAGCAGCCCCCCCCCCC